This 283-nucleotide long non-coding RNA is filed under the name Elaeis guineensis (African oil palm). Its description in RNAcentral is "long non-coding RNA (EGUI_LNC067479)". Lineage: Eukaryota; Viridiplantae; Streptophyta; Magnoliopsida; Arecales; Arecaceae. The record is from RNAcentral.
AGCUGUGCAAAUAUCUAAUCUCUAUAGGUAUCCACUCAAGAUCAGCCUGGAACAACCCUCUUAAGAUUGAAUUUUUUUCUCUAAGAAACUUCAGCCUGCGAAUCUAAACGAAGUCUGGAUCACGAUCAACUCUUUGAUCUCUUUUUUUUAUCUUCUUCUUCUCUUGAUUUUUCCUCUUUGAUUUAUGUUGCUAUCAAGAAGAAACACCAGCAAAUAAGAGAUGCCCAAGGCCCUUGUGGGCGUGAAGAGAUGGGACGCCCAAGGUGGGGCAUGUGGGAUGCCG